RNAcentral lists this ribosomal RNA (477 nucleotides) under Candidatus Scalindua brodae. RNAcentral's name for it is "bacterial SSU rRNA". It matches the Rfam family "Bacterial small subunit ribosomal RNA", at positions 365 to 832 of the family's 1533-position model. RNAcentral also lists the same sequence under 1 other name. Lineage: Bacteria; Pseudomonadati; Planctomycetota; Candidatus Brocadiia; Candidatus Brocadiales; Candidatus Scalinduaceae. The record is from RNAcentral.
UUCGCAAUGCCCGAAAGGGUGACGAAGCGACGCCGCGUGGGUGAGGAAGGCCCUCGGGUUGUAAAGCCCUGUCAGGAGUUAAGAAAUGUAAGUGUGUUAAUACCACAUUUAUUUGACGAAGGCUCCAAAGGAAGCCACGGCUAACUCUGUGCCAGCAGCCGCGGUAAUACAGAGGUGGCAAGCGUUGUUCGGAAUUAUUGGGCGUAAAGAGCACGUAGGUGGGUUUGUAAGUCAGAUGUGAAAGCCUUCUGUUCAACGGAAGAAUUGCAUCUGAAACUGCGAAUCUUGAGUGUAGGAGGGGAGAAUGGAACUUCUGGUGGAGCGGUGAAAUGCGUAGAUAUCAGAAGGAACGUCGGCGGCGAAAGCGAUUCUCUGGCCUAUUACUGACACUGAGUGUGCGAAAGUUAGGGGAGCAAACGGGAUUAGAUACCCCGGUAGUCCUAACCGUAAACGAUGGGCACUAAGUAGAGGGGUUUU